AACACGGUCAUGGGCUGAAUGACCCAAGUAACACACUUGGCUCACUGCUCAGCUCGUCAAAGAGAUGGGCACUCCUGGGCUUCUUCUUCAUGGACUCGUAAGUGGUAACCAUUAGGAUUCUCGGACAAUUUCAGAGCACUUUCCUGGUGGGGCCAUUGGCUUUACGUGACCCUCUCACCCCCCAUUAGCCUUCUUGAUGAAGCUGGGAGACCUCGAUCACUGUGCUCUUUCUAUAUAUCGUCCUCUUUUCGGUUGGAACUAUCAUCUUUUUCCGCUCUGUUCUUCUAAAAUCUCGUAGCUUCCUUUUGUUCUUGAGCUUGGCUAAAGACUGGAGUCUGGAGAGCUGGUAUUUUGCUUUAGCUGCCAAUAUUGAGUUAUUAACUCUUGCAUUAAGAUCACACUACAGAAAUGUCUUUAGGCGUCAUUUGAAUAUCUGUGAAUUUCACAUGAUGAGUUAUUUGAAUUAAAUAUCAUGUUACACAUCUAUCCAAAUGAAGUUGAGUUUUUCAUAAGAGAAUUACGAAAAUUGCAAAACUUUAUUUGUCUGGGAAUUCUGUUUUAUGAACAUUCAAUUGAUCAAUUCUAGCUUUGUUUGAUUUGACGAUGUAUCUUUAUUAUCUGGGUUAUGAUUGUUCAUGGUUUAUGUUUUCUUGCAAUCUUUUUUCCUUUUCCUUUCAUUGUGGAAGUUAUGAAAGUCAGGCGUUCAUGAUACUGCUGUUUCCACCUUAGUUUUAGUAAAUAACCUUUUCUGUUGAUGGAAUAUGAUUGGAUUUGUGGAUAUGGUCUUUUGAAUAUGGUUCCAAUAGGAUUUUAUUUUGGGGAAAUGUCUAAAAAAAUCCCGAACUUUGCACUUUUUAACAAUUGUACCCUUAACAUUUUUCUUUGAUAAAAAUACCUUAUACUAAUGACUUUUUUAUAAUUGUCUAACAAAUAAAAACCCUAAAUAGAGUUGUCUCACCCAUCUGCAUUUCUAAUACUUGCACUACACUUUACUUCUUUUGUCUCUAUAUCUGUUUUUUAAGUUUAAAUAUUACUCUAAUUAGAGUUUUUUUUUUUUUUUUUGAAUUUGGGGGUUUUUAUACUAAAAUUGGAUUUCUCCGUAAAUUUUUAACAGGAAUAUUAACGGAACAAAUUAUUUGUAUAGGUAUUUUUAUCAAAAAAAAAAAAAGUUAAUGGUACAAUUGUAAAAAGUUCAAAGUUUGGCAUUAUCCCUUUUAUUUUACCAUCUAGGGGCAGGUGGCAUUGCCAUUCCAAAUCCAAAGUGUAGUAUUUGGGAGAUGGUGUUCUUACACCACUGUUUAUGUGUCUCAACAUUGUGAAGAUUUGGAAAAAUCAUAUUGAAUUGGCAGAGAGCAAUCACAAAAAAAAAAGCAUGCUCUAAACAAAUUGUCAAGUGUCCACAUAUAAGGCAAAUUGUCAUAUAUUAAGACCAUAAUGAAUUCAACUUAUUCAUCAUUAUGGAUAAUAUUGUUACGUAUAGGACGUCUAGGUGGAGGAAGAAAAGAGUGAUGGAAGAUACUGCAGAAGUUGACUCUUAGACUCUUAUUAAGAAGCAGAAGAUUGAUAAGGUUAUGGAGGGAAAAAUAAGUCGGUCAGUGAGUUGUUAGAUUUGGAGGGAAAAGUUAGAGAAUCUAUUGUAAUUCAGUUGUGUGUGUGUGUGUGUGACAGUUAUUGGUGAUUAGAUUGUAUAGAAGGGAAGAGGAAGCACCUGUGUUUUCAAUAACAAUCUGUUACAUUCUCUCUUCUGUUCUUCUC
Molecule: long non-coding RNA, 1755 nt
Organism: Manihot esculenta (cassava)
Lineage: Eukaryota; Viridiplantae; Streptophyta; Magnoliopsida; Malpighiales; Euphorbiaceae
Exons: 2
Source: RefSeq, a predicted model, not a curated record